GACGAACGCUGGCGGCGUGCUUAACACAUGCAAGUCGAACGGACAGGCCCUGCUUUUGUGGGGUGCUCGAGUGGCGAACGGGUGAGUAACACGUGAGUAACCUGCCCUUGACUUUGGGAUAACUUCAGGAAACUGGGGCUAAUACCGGAUAGGAGCUCUUGCUGCAUGGUGGGGGUUGGAAAGUUUCGGCGGUUGGGGAUGGACUCGCGGCUUAUCCGCUUGUUGGUGGGGUAGUGGCUUACCAAGGCUUUGACGGGUAGCCGGCCUGAGAGGGUGACCGGCCACAUUGGGACUGAGAUACGGCCCAGACUCCUACGGGAGGCAGCAGUGGGGAAUAUUGCACAAUGGGCGGAAGCCUGAUGCAGCAACGCCGCGUGCGGGAUGACGGCCUUCGGGUUGUAAACCGCUUUCGCCUGUGACGAAGCGUGAGUGACGGUAAUGGGUAAAGAAGCACCGGCUAACUACGUG
RNAcentral lists this ribosomal RNA (468 nucleotides) under uncultured bacterium. Its description in RNAcentral is "partial 16S ribosomal RNA". It matches the Rfam family "Bacterial small subunit ribosomal RNA", at positions 28 to 507 of the family's 1533-position model. The record is from RNAcentral.